This is a long non-coding RNA of Harmonia axyridis, 2437 nucleotides long. RefSeq lists it as uncharacterized. Lineage: Eukaryota; Metazoa; Arthropoda; Insecta; Coleoptera; Coccinellidae. The transcript is spliced from 4 exons. The record is from RefSeq and is a predicted model, not a curated record.
CUUCUUGUUCUGCGUUCGAAUCAUGACUUUUUUCUACUAACUUUUUAUUUUCGUCCACUUCAUUUCAUCUUGAUCAUUCUCAUCGGAUGGACUUUCAUCCCCUCUUGAAAUUUCAUCGAACCAUCUUAGCCAAACCCCCGGAUCCAUGCUCGUUUUUAUUCUCUUGUUUCCCCUCUUCUUAGGAUCGGACAUAAUAUUAUAUUCCUGAAACAUGAAUAUCAUAAGAAUACAUAAAUAUAUAUCGAAAUUUUACGAGUCAUUAUGUGAACUCGAUUAUGUUUUUAAAUGAUAUUAAUGCCAGAAAAACAUAACUUAUCAAUGUAUUACAGUAAUACGUUAUUGAUAACAAGUACGACCGAUUGAAUUAUGAAUCCUACAUUGUAAUAAUGCACCUUUCUCUGAUUUAAUGGAAAUUGUUUCACGAUUAAAUUAAAAAAUACAUCAAUCCGAAUUCAUCAAUACUACAAUUAAUGUUUUCACAGAAUUUAUUUUCAUUUUUGGUUUAGUGUCUCAACAGAAAUUAACCUUAAGAGCGUUGGCGUUCAAAACAGUAAUUGCUCGUAGGCACGUCCAAAAAUGGUAUCAUAUAUUGCUGUAAUUCCUCUCAAGAAUUAUAUAUCGCAAUAAAUUAAAAAAAUGUUCAGAAAAAAAUGAAGCAACAUAUAAAUGUAAACCUUCUCGUCUCUCAUCACAUCACAGGGUAUUCUGAAUAAAAUCUUAUUUUUCAUUUCUAAUUUAUUUUACAUAACAAAAAAAAAUGCCAAACUCGGUCAAAGAAAAUAAACAACGAAAUUCGUUGAUAUUAUGUCUGUUCCCCCAAUUUUGCCACUGUGUAUAUUUAUGAAACCUUGUAACGGUUCGAUUUACACCAUUGGAUAUUUCGAUUGGUGGUGCGCCCUCUAGAGAUUGAUUGUGAAUUCAACUCGGAAUAUUCCGUAUUAAUUUAAAUUUCAAUUUAUUAUAGAACAGUUAUUUCCGGAUAAGUGAAGGCGAAUAUCAUUACCGUUGGAAAAUAUUUUAUAGUUUCUGGAUUUCUUGUAUUAUUUUUCGUCUGUGUGGGAAGUUUCGUUUGACAACUGGUAGAUUCUGUGGUUAUGAAUGAUUGUCAAAUGGAGGUUAUCGGCGAUUUGAGAUAAUUUUGAAAGAGAUUUUUUUGGAAGAAAAUUGGAGAAUAUAUGAUCUCGAAUCAUCCUUAUUAUAGGCUAUUAUUUCUUCAAUUUGAGUAAUUCCCUGUUUAGUUUAUGGUAUUGUGAAUAUUUCUGGGAAAAACGUUUUGUACGUGAUUAUAAAAUUUUCCUUCCACAAGGGCCAUCUCUGGUAUUGAAUUUUACUCUGAAGAUCUGAGAGGAUUCGCUUCCCGGCGAUUAGUUCGAACAACUGUGGAACUUACACGAAGAAUAUCAAGAAGAUCCUUUUCCCUCGAACAAGAACUGAGAGGGUCCUAGUGCCUGGGUAACGUUGAGACUCCUAGUGCCUGGUUGAAUUGAAUAAUCCUAGUGCCUGGUUGGAUUUGGAAUCCUAGUGCCUGGUUACGUUCAGGAAUUCUUAGUCUGGUGUAUAGUACGGUUGGACUUUAUGGUAUUUAUUUUCUGGUAUAUGGUGGUGGAUUUCUGGUACAAUUCUGGUGGAUGGUACAUUCUGAUAGAUGGUACAGUUCGAGUACGUAGUAUAUUGCUGGCAUAUGGUGUAGCUCGAGUAGAUGGUACAUUCUACGUAUAGAGAUCUCACCGUUAGAUUUGCUGUCAACCUUCAAUAUUGAUUUUGUAUCAGGUAACCGGUGCUUGCACUGGGUUGAGAUUUAGUUUUAGAAGUAACGAUUUAGUGUACUGAUGGUAAAUCAGUCAUUGGAAUAGGAGUUAACGGUUAUAUUAUUAAUUUUCUGUCCAUUGACAGUUAUAUUUAAAUAUAUUGGAUAAAGGUUGUUUGUUGCUUAUUAUAUACUGUUGAAAUUGUAAACAGUUUGCGGUAAGGUGCCCUUCACUAACUGGCCAUUUAUUUUAACAACUAUAAUACUUGUGUAUCCCUUCAGGAUUUGUAACUGGAAUUUAUUAUCACUUUAUUCAACCUGCUAUUUCAUACCAGCCAGUUAUUACAACCACUGUAUAUGUAUAUUCCUUCAGGAUCUGUGGUUGAAGUUAAUCUUUGUGUUUGAUUUGGUUAUUUGUCUGGUUUAUUAUCUUGUAUAGUUGGAGUUUUCGAACUCUGUUUAUUUUUCAGUUUCGGUACUGAAGUUUGAGGUUAAGCCUAAGCCGAGUGUAGGCUGAUUAAGGAUUCUGUUGUCAGGAUUAGGUUAGGUAUUAUAGGUUAUAGAGAGCCCUUCUGGCAUUUGUUGUUGAUUAUAGUUUAUAGGAAGCCCUUCUGGCAUUUGUUAGUAUUAGGUAAAGUUUUUGGGAAGCCCUUCUGGCUCUUGGUAGUUUAGAGAAUUCUUUUUCAUUAU